Long non-coding RNA from Alosa sapidissima (American shad), 1009 nucleotides. RefSeq lists it as uncharacterized. The record is from RefSeq and is a predicted model, not a curated record. Lineage: Eukaryota; Metazoa; Chordata; Actinopteri; Clupeiformes; Clupeidae. The transcript has 3 exons.
UCAGUGUCACUGCUUGACCAGUAGAUGGAGCCAUUUGCUGUUGCUGCCUCCUGGUGGCUUUGAAGGAAGCACAGAGAGCUCGGUUUUAUGAAAAUAUAUGCUAAUAGUUAAAUGGAUUUACUUACUGAAAUGCCCAUCAUGCAUUGCUGUUAAUACUGACACACAGUCAGUGUCUGCACACUCUGCAUCUGAUACCAUGAGAGACAAUCUGAAAUGAGUAAUGCAACAUUUAAACAAAUAAAAACAUAUCUAUCACUUAGUAAUCCCACUUUAUAAGUCUCAUAUGUUAUAAAUGAAGAUGAUCUAACUGCAGUGCAGUAGAGCACGCUCAAAAUGAGGAAGAUGGGAGACCAGUUUGGCGACUGCAGACAGUAGCCUAUUUAAAAUCACGUGAGCUGCUAGCUGCUGCAUAACAGUUCAGUGCUGCGUUAGUGUUCUUCUUUUCCUGUCAAGACAGGACACCAUUCAAGACAACAGCUGCAAACGCUAAUUAACCCGAAGAUGACACACACAUCACAUCAUCUUUCCUUGCUCCUGUUGAUCAUGAUUCCUGGAACACUACUCCCCUUUGGCACGCUGGCCAUCCAUGUAGUAGCUCAAAGGGUGAAGUACCAGGCGUGCGGUGUUUGUAUGGUCUACGUGCAAACAGUCAGUCACAACUGGUUCCCAUGGCUUGUGUUGCCGAUUGGCCAACUGAACAGUCUGUUUGAGCACUCUGUUAAAUAUCUCUAUUGCCCCAUUGGCCGCCGGAUAGUAGAGAGAGAAUCUUUGAGGAGGGAUGUGUUUUCCUUCUAAGAAAACAGCAAAGACUACGGAGGUGAACUUGUUAAAUGGGUGUUGGGUUGGUAAAUAAUGGUAGGACUGUAUGAGGAAUGAUGUAUUUAAGAAGGGUGUCUCACUGGGGUGUCGAUCAGAACACAAAAGAGUCGAUGCAAUUCAAUCCAGCACUUUACUUGAGGUGUUGAAUGAUUUACACAGCACAGCAAGCACAAUAAGGUACACUGGUUGU